GUUAUUAGUUAUAGCGUUGGAUGCCAUCUUUUCCACCUAAUAAAGCCUUUUGCUUUGUGUCUUCAGUGGAGAAUCUGGUGCUGGGAAAACUGUUAACACCAAGAGAGUCAUUCAGUACUUCGCCAGCAUUGCAGCUGGAGGUGGGAAAAAGGACACAGGCUCUGAGAAAAAGGGUACAUUGGAGGAUCAAAUCAUCCAAUGCAACCCGGCAUUAGAGGCCUUUGGGAAUGCAAAAACCAUCAGAAAUGAUAACUCUUCCAGAUUUGGAAAAUUUAUCCGUAUUCAUUUUGCAGCCAGUGGAAAGCUGGCUUCAGCUGAUAUUGAGACAUAUCUGCUAGAGAAGUCCAGAGUAACCUUUCAGCUUAA
Poecilia reticulata (guppy) is the source of this 366-nucleotide non-coding RNA. NCBI's taxonomy places the organism in Eukaryota, Metazoa, Chordata, Actinopteri, Cyprinodontiformes, Poeciliidae. The record is from RefSeq and is a predicted model, not a curated record.